UACGGAGGGUGCAAGCGUUAUCCGGAUUUAUUGGGUUUAAAGGGUGCGUAGGCGGAUUUAUAAGUCAGUGGUGAAAGUCUGCGGCUCAACCGUAGAAUUGCCAUUGAUACUGUAGGUCUUGAGUACAGUUGAGGUAGGCGGAAUGUGUAAUGUAGCGGUGAAAUGCAUAGAUAUUACACAGAACACCGAUUGCGAAGGCAGCUUACUGGACUGUUACUGACGCUGAUGCACGAAAGCGUGGGGAGCGAACAGG
Molecule: ribosomal RNA, 253 nt
Filed under: uncultured bacterium
Lineage: Bacteria
Description: partial 16S ribosomal RNA
Rfam family: Bacterial small subunit ribosomal RNA
Source: RNAcentral